GUGACUGCGUACCUUUUGUAUAAUGGGUCAGCGACUUAUAUUCUGUAGCAAGGUUAACCGAAUAGGGGAGCCGGAGGGAAACCGAGUCUUAACCGGGCGUUAAGUUGCAGGGUAUAGACCCGAAACCCGGUGAUCUAGCCAUGGGCAGGUUGAAGGUUGGGUAACACUAACUGGAGGACCGAACCGACUAAUGUUGAAAAAUUAGCGGAUGACCUGUGGCUGGGGGUGAAAGGCCAAUCAAACCGGGAGAUAGCUGGUUCUCCCCGAAAGCUAUUUAGGUAGCGCCUCGUGAAUUCAUCUCCGGGGGUAGAGCACUGUUUCGGCUAGGGGGCCAUCCCGGCUUACCAACCCGAUGCAAACUGCGAAUACCGGAGAAUGUUAUCACGGGAGACACACGGCGGGUGCUAACGUCCGUCGUGAAGAGGGAAACAACCCAGACCGCCAGCUAAGGUCCCAAAGUCAUGGUUAAGUGGGAAACGAUGUGGGAAGGCCCAGACAGCCAGGAUGUUGGCUUAGAAGCAGCCAUCAUUUAAAGAAAGCGUAAUAGCUCACUGGUCGAGUCGGCCUGCGCGGAAGAUGUAACGGGGCUAAACCAUGCACCGAAGCUGCGGCAGCGACACUGUGUGUUGUUGGGUAGGGGAGCGUUCUGUAAGCCUGUGAAGGUGUGUCGUGAGGCAUGCUGGAGGUAUCAGAAGUGCGAAUGCUGACAUAAGUAACGAUAAAGCGGGUGAAAAGCCCGCUCGCCGGAAGACCAAGGGUUCCUGUCCAACGUUAAUCGGGGCAGGGUGAGUCGACCCCUAAGGCGAGGCCGAAAGGCGUAGUCGAUGGGAAACGGGUUAAUAUUCCCGUACUUGGUGUUACUGCGAAGGGGGGACGGAGAAGGCUAUGUUGGCCGGGCGACGGUUGUCCCGGUUUAAGCGUGUAGGUGUGUGUUCCAGGUAAAUCCGGUUCACUUUAACACUGAGGCGUGACGACGAGGCACUACGGUGCUGAAGCAACAAAUGCCCUGCUUCCAGGAAAAGCCUCUAAGCAUCAGGUAACAUCAAAUCGUACCCCAAACCGACACAGGUGGUCAGGUAGAGAAUACCAAGGCGCUUGAGAGAACUCGGGUGAAGGAACUAGGCAAAAUGGUGCCGUAACUUCGGGAGAAGGCACGCUGACACGUAGGUGAAGUGAUUUACUCAUGGAGCUGAAGUCAGUCGAAGAUACCAGCUGGCUGCAACUGUUUAUUAAAAACACAGCACUGUGCAAACACGAAAGUGGACGUAUACGGUGUGACGCCUGCCCGGUGCCGGAAGGUUAAUUGAUGGGGUCAGCGCAAGCGAAGCUCCUGAUCGAAGCCCCGGUAAACGGCGGCCGUAACUAUAACGGUCCUAAGGUAGCGAAAUUCCUUGUCGGGUAAGUUCCGACCUGCACGAAUGGCGUAAUGAUGGCCAGGCUGUCUCCACCCGAGACUCAGUGAAAUUGAACUCGCUGUGAAGAUGCAGUGUACCCGCGGCAAGACGGAAAGACCCCGUGAACCUUUACUAUAGCUUGACACUGAACAUUGAGCCUUGAUGUGUAGGAUAGGUGGGAGGCUUUGAAGUGUGGACGCCAGUCUGCAUGGAGCCGACCUUGAAAUACCACCCUUUAAUGUUUGAUGUUCUAACGUGGACCCGUUACCCGGGUUGCGGACAGUGUCUGGUGGGUAGUUUGACUGGGGCGGUCUCCUCCUAAAGAGUAACGGAGGAGCACGAAGGUUGGCUAAUCCUGGUCGGACAUCAGGAGGUUAGUGCAAUGGCAUAAGCCAGCUUGACUGCGAGCGUGACGGCGCGAGCAGGUGCGAAAGCAGGUCAUAGUGAUCCGGUGGUUCUGAAUGGAAGGGCCAUCGCUCAACGGAUAAAAGGUACUCCGGGGAUAACAGGCUGAUACCGCCCAAGAGUUCAUAUCGACGGCGGUGUUUGGCACCUCGAUGUCGGCUCAUCACAUCCUGGGGCUGAAGUAGGUCCCAAGGGUAUGGCUGUUCGCCAUUUAAAGUGGUACGCGAGCUGGGUUUAGAACGUCGUGAGACAGUUCGGUCCCUAUCUGCCGUGGGCGCUGGAGAACUGAGGGGGGCUGCUCCUAGUACGAGAGGACCGGAGUGGACGCAUCACUGGUGUUCGGGUUGUCAUGCCAAUGGCACUGCCCGGUAGCUAAAUGCGGAAGAGAUAAGUGCUGAAAGCAUCUAAGCACGAAACUUGCCCCGAGAUGAGUUCUCCCUGAGACUU
Molecule: ribosomal RNA, 2246 nt
Filed under: Salmonella enterica subsp. enterica serovar Enteritidis
Lineage: Bacteria; Pseudomonadati; Pseudomonadota; Gammaproteobacteria; Enterobacterales; Enterobacteriaceae
Description: bacterial LSU rRNA
Rfam family: Bacterial large subunit ribosomal RNA
Source: RNAcentral